Molecule: ribosomal RNA, 253 nt
Filed under: uncultured bacterium
Lineage: Bacteria
Description: partial 16S ribosomal RNA
Rfam family: Bacterial small subunit ribosomal RNA
Source: RNAcentral
UACGUAGGGGGCGAGCGUUGUCCGGAUUUAUUGGGCGUAAAGAGCGUGUAGGCGGCCAGGUAGGUCUGCUGUGAAAACUCGAGGCUCAACCUCGAGACGUCGGCGGAAACCAUCUGGCUAGAGUCCGGAAGAGGAGAGUGGAAUUCCUGGUGUAGCGGUGAAAUGCGUAGAUAUCAGGAAGAACACCCGUGGCGAAGGCGGCUCUCUGGGACGGUACUGACGCUGAGACGCGAAAGCGUGGGGAGCGAACAGG